This 1437-nucleotide ribosomal RNA is filed under the name uncultured organism. RNAcentral's name for it is "16S ribosomal RNA". It matches the Rfam family "Bacterial small subunit ribosomal RNA". The record is from RNAcentral.
GCUGGCGACGUGCUUAACACAUGCAAGUCGAACGGAAAGGCCCUGCUUUUGUGGGGUGCUCGAGUGGCGAACGGGUGAGUAACACGUGAGUAACCUGCCCUUGACUUUGGGAUAACUUCAGGAAACUGGGGCUAAUACCGGAUAGGAGCUCCUGCUGCAUGGUGGGGGUUGGAAAGUUUCGGCGGUUGGGGAUGGACUCGCGGCUUAUCAGCUUGUUGGUGGGGUAGUGGCUUACCAAGGCUUUGACGGGUAGCCGGCCUGAGAGGGUGACCAGCCACAUUGGGACUGAGAUACGGCCCAGACUCCUACGGGAGGCAGCAGUGGGGAAUAUUGCACAAUGGGCGGAAGCCUGAUGCAGCAACGCCGCGUGCGGGAUGACGGCCUUCGGGUUGUAAACCGCUUUCGCCUGUGACGAAGCGUGAGUGACGGUAAUGGGUAAAGAAGCACCGGCUAACUACGUGCCAGCAGCCGCGGUGAUACGUAGGGUGCGAGCGUUGUCCGGAUUUAUUGGGCGUAAAGGGCUCGUAGGUGGUUGAUCGCGUCGGAAGUGUAAUCUUGGGGCUUAACCCUGAGCGUGCUUUCGAUACGGGUUGACUUGAGGAAGGUAGGGGAGAAUGGAAUUCCUGGUGGAGCGGUGGAAUGCGCAGAUAUCAGGAGGAACACCAGUGGCGAAGGCGGUUCUCUGGGCCUUUCCUGACGCUGAGGAGCGAAAGCGUGGGGAGCGAACAGGCUUAGAUACCCUGGUAGUCCACGCUGUAAACGGUGGGUACUAGGUGUGGGGUCCAUUCCACGGGUUCCGUGCCGUAGCUAACGCUUUAAGUACCCCGCCUGGGGAGUACGGCCGCAAGGCUAAAACUCAAAGGAAUUGACGGGGCCCCGCACAAGCGGCGGAGCAUGCGGAUUAAUUCGAUGCAACGCGUAGAACCUUACCUGGGUUUGACAUGGAUCGGGAGUGCUCAGAGAUGGGUGUGCCUCUUUUGGGGUCGGUUCACAGGUGGUGCAUGGCUGUCGUCAGCUCGUGUCGUGAGAUGUUGGGUUAAGUCCCGCAACGAGCGCAACCCUCGUUCACUGUUGCCAGCACGUUAUGGUGGGGACUCAGUGGAGACCGCCGGGGUCAACUCGGAGGAAGGUGGGGAUGACGUCAAGUCAUCAUGCCCCUUAUGUCCAGGGCUUCACGCAUGCUACAAUGGCUGGUACAGAGAGUGGCGAGCCUGUGAGGGUGAGCGAAUCUCGGAAAGCCGGUCUCAGUUCGGAUUGGGGUCUGCAACUCGACCUCAUGAAGUCGGAGUCGCUAGUAAUCGCAGAUCAGCAACGCUGCGGUGAAUACGUUCCCGGGGCUUGUACACACCGCCCGUCAAGUCAUGAAAGUUGGUAACACCCGAAGCCGGUGGCCUAACCGUUGUGGGGGAGCCGUCGAAGGUGGGACUGGUGAUUAGG